RNAcentral lists this ribosomal RNA (792 nucleotides) under uncultured bacterium. RNAcentral's name for it is "bacterial SSU rRNA". It matches the Rfam family "Bacterial small subunit ribosomal RNA", at positions 8 to 796 of the family's 1533-position model. The record is from RNAcentral.
AGAGUUUGAUCAUGGCUCAGAUUGAACGCUGGCGGCAUGCCUAACACAUGCAAGUCGAACGGUAACAGGGGCUUCGGCCCGCUGACGAGUGGCGGACGGGUGAGUAAUACGUAGGAAUCUGCCCAGUAGUGGGGGACAACCCGGGGAAACCCGGGCUAAUACCGCAUACGCCCUACGGGGGAAAGCGGGGGAUCGUAAGACCUCGCGCUAUUGGAUGAGCCUACGUCGGAUUAGCUAGUUGGUAGGGUAAAGGCCUACCAAGGCGACGAUCCGUAGCUGUUCUGAGAGGAAGAUCAGCCACACUGGGACUGAGACACGGCCCAGACUCCUACGGGAGGCAGCAGUGGGGAAUCUUGGACAAUGGGGGAAACCCUGAUCCAGCAAUGCCGCGUGUGUGAAGAAGGCCUUCGGGUUGUAAAGCACUUUCGAUAGGGAAGAAAAGCUUGGCGCUAAUCAGUCAAGUCUUGACGUUACCUAGAGAAGAAGCACCGGCUAACUCUGUGCCAGCAGCCGCGGUAAUACAGAGGGUGCAAGCGUUAAUCGGAGUUACUGGGCGUAAAGGGCGCGUAGGCGGUUCGAUUAGUCGGGUGUGAAAGCCCUGGGCUUAACCUGGGAAUUGCAUUCGAUACUGUCGGGCUAGAGUAUGGUAGAGGAAAGCGGAAUUCCACAUGUAGCGGUGAAAUGCGUAGAUAUGUGGAGGAACAUCAGUGGCGAAGGCGGCUUUCUGGACCAAUACUGACGCUGAGGCGCGAAAGCGUGGGGAGCAAACAGGAUUAGAUACCCUAGUAGUCC